GCUGGGUAUGGUGGCUCAUCCCUGUAAUCCCGGCAACUAGGAGGCUGAGGCAGAAGGAUACCAAGUUCAACAGCCUCAGAAAUGUGGUGAGGCUAUAAGCAACUUAGCAAGACUCUGUCUCAA
RNAcentral lists this small RNA (123 nucleotides) under Marmota monax (woodchuck). The record is from RNAcentral. Lineage: Eukaryota; Metazoa; Chordata; Mammalia; Rodentia; Sciuridae.